UUAAAGGAGUCUACAUCUCAACUACGGAUUCCAUAAAGAAGCAGAUGCAUUCAGUUAGGUCCAGUCUGUUAAAAAUGAAGAAUGUUAGAAUGUGCACUAUUGAGCACAAAGGAGGAGGAGGGUUCAGUGAGGAGUUUUGGGGAAAGCUGAAAUGUCAAAGGCUGAUGAAUUUUACUGGGCAAUAGCACCCGCCAAGACUGAGAGGAGUGAAACAGCACAACCUGGGUGAAGAACUUCAGACCAUUUGGUCUUUCAAGAGCAAAGGGUGACACUGGACAUACUGGAGAAGUAUGAUUAUAAGGCAUGUCAAAGAGUGGGGACAUAAACCAGACAUGGGAGAGAGAAGCUGUCUCCUCUGCAGGAUAAACAGUAUUGCUGCUCUGAAGACAGCUUGAGUAACACUGUUCUUGGACAUUGAUGGGCUUGUCUAAUUAAGGGAGAAAAAUCGAUCUUCUGUGAGAACACAUUGAGCUAAUAUGGAAAGAGAAGCAGAGAAGACAGAUGAUAAGAACGUCUUGAUGCUGGUUGAGUCUCCUCUGCAUCCAGUCAUUCCUGAAGCCAGCUCUGAUUCUUCCCCCUCCACCACCGAAAACGAUGGAGGAAGAAAGAAG
Molecule: long non-coding RNA, 611 nt
Filed under: Homo sapiens (human)
Lineage: Eukaryota; Metazoa; Chordata; Mammalia; Primates; Hominidae
Description: HSALNT0178854
Source: RNAcentral